This is a long non-coding RNA of Prosopis cineraria, 889 nucleotides long. RefSeq lists it as uncharacterized. NCBI's taxonomy places the organism in Eukaryota, Viridiplantae, Streptophyta, Magnoliopsida, Fabales, Fabaceae. The record is from RefSeq and is a predicted model, not a curated record. The transcript has 2 exons.
AAACGCGUUCUCGGCUGACACCGCCUCUGUGGUUCUGGUCUCCACGGAGGAAAAAGAUACGCUAGAUCGAAGUAAGAAAAAAGUUUGAGAAGGUGGUAUUUUCUCAGGCGAAACGUCACUAUAGUUGCGAAGUGAAUGAUGGAUGAAGGUGAAUGCAUGGACGAGAUUUGAAGGCAUUGGAGCUGUAUCGUACCGCGACUCACUAUUGAAGAGGAAGGAGAGCUUCUCCGAUUCAUCUCUGGACGACGGUGAAGAGGUAGACAUAUGUUUUGAGUCAAUUCCGAAUCCAAGCGAAAGUAUUACAGUUGACCGUAUGAACUUACUUUGCCCCAACUUCAUUCUCGAUCUGAAAGAAAGAAAACGACCAGCUAAGCCUUUCCAUUUAACACUGAUUGUCAAAUCGAUGGGUAAAACCAUAAGUCUGCGAUUGUUAAAGCCACGAAUUGAGCAAUUAUAGAGCAAGAAGGGCAGUGUUCAAGUGGUCGAUAUAGAAGGUGAUUUUUUCCUUGUGGAAUUUGAAGAUGCAAAGUACUAUAAUACGGCCCUCACUGGAGGUCCUUGGGUGAUUCUUGAUAGCUAUUUGGUGGUGAUUCGUUGGAAGCCAAACUUCAACCCGAUGGAAGAGGUCAUCUCAAAGCUUAUUGUCUGCGUGUGGAUUGGUUGAGGAGUCCUGCUUGCAUGCAUUGAGGGAUUGUUCUUAUGCACAUAGUGUGUGGGAGUAGCUAAUACGAGAUAUGCAUUUUUUUAUUUUUUAUUUAAAUUUGUAUAAAUGGUUUCAAAAGAAUUUCAAUAGUAGUUCAAUAAGGAAAACGUGUAAUUGGCAUUUGAUAUUUGGGGUGGCUGUAUGGUUUAUGUGGUCUUGGAUGAAUAAAAUGAUGUUUGAUCCUAA